This 258-nucleotide ribosomal RNA is filed under the name uncultured bacterium. RNAcentral describes it as "partial 16S ribosomal RNA". It matches the Rfam family "Bacterial small subunit ribosomal RNA", at positions 76 to 334 of the family's 1533-position model. The record is from RNAcentral.
CUUGCUAAGGCCGAUGGCGACCGGCGCACGGGUGAGUAACACGUAUCCAACCUGCCCUUUACUCGGGGAUAGCCUUUCGAAAGAAAGAUUAAUACCCGAUAGCAUAAUGAUUCCGCAUGGUUUCAUUAUUAAAGGAUUCCGGUAAAGGAUGGGGAUGCGUUCCAUUAGGUUGUUGGUGGGGUAACGGCCCACCAAGCCUUCGAUGGAUAGGGGUUCUGAGAGGAAGGUCCCCCACAUUGGAACUGAGACACGGUCCAA